This 433-nucleotide ribosomal RNA is filed under the name uncultured Fusibacter sp. Its description in RNAcentral is "bacterial SSU rRNA". It matches the Rfam family "Bacterial small subunit ribosomal RNA", at positions 957 to 1382 of the family's 1533-position model. The record is from RNAcentral. Lineage: Bacteria; Bacillati; Bacillota; Clostridia; Eubacteriales; Fusibacteraceae.
CAACGACGAAGAACCUUACCAGAUCUUGACAAAUCCAAUUGACCAUCUUUUAAUCGAGAUUUUGUCCUUCGGGUACGAAUUGAGACAGGUGGUGCAUGGUUGUCGUCAGCUCGUGUCGUGAGAUGUUGGGUUAAGUCCCGCAACGAGCGCAACCCUUGUGUUUAGUUGCAAACAGGUCAAGCUGUGCACUCUAGACAGACUACCGUGGACAACACGGAGGAAGGUGGGGAUGACGUCAAAUCAUCAUGCCCCUUAUGAUCCGGGCUACACACGUGCUACAAUGGCCGGUACAACGGGCAGCGAAGGAGCGAUCCGGAGCGAAUCCUAAAAAGCCGGUCCCAGUUCGGAUUGCAGGCUGAAACUCGCCUACAUGAAGUUGGAGUUGCUAGUAAUCGCGAAUCAGAAUGUCGCGGUGAAUGCGUUCCCGGGUCUU